Molecule: transfer RNA, 72 nt
Filed under: Ictidomys tridecemlineatus (thirteen-lined ground squirrel)
Lineage: Eukaryota; Metazoa; Chordata; Mammalia; Rodentia; Sciuridae
Description: Spermophilus tridecemlineatus (thirteen-lined ground squirrel) tRNA
Rfam family: tRNA
About the family: Transfer RNA (tRNA) molecules are approximately 80 nucleotides in length. Their secondary structure includes four short double-helical elements and three loops (D, anti-codon, and T loops). Further hydrogen bonds mediate the characteristic L-shaped molecular structure. tRNAs have two regions of fundamental functional importance: the anti-codon, which is responsible for specific mRNA codon recognition, and the 3' end, to which the tRNAs corresponding amino acid is attached (by aminoacyl-tRNA synthetases). tRNAs cope with the degeneracy of the genetic code in two manners: having more than one tRNA (with a specific anti-codon) for a particular amino acid; and 'wobble' base-pairing, i.e. permitting non-standard base-pairing at the 3rd anti-codon position.
Source: Rfam by way of RNAcentral
GGGGCUGUAGCUCAGUGGCAGGGCACUUGCCUAGCAUGCAUGAGGCCCUGGGUUCAAUUUUCAGCACCAUCA